AGAGUUUGAUCCUGGCUCAGGANNNNNNNUGGCGGCGUGCCUAACACAUGCAAGUCGAGCGAACCCCUUCGGGGGAGAGCGGCGGACGGGUGAGUAACGCGUGGGUAACCUACCCUGUACACACGGAUAACAUACCGAAAGGUUUACUAAUACGUGAUGACAUAUCAGACAGGCAUCUGUUUGAUAUCAAAGGUCAGCUGGUACAGGAUGGACCCGCGUCUGAUUAGCUAGUUGGUGAGAUAAAAGCUCACCAAGGCGACGAUCAGUAGCCGACCUGAGAGGGUGAUCGGCCACNUUGGAACUGAGACACGGUCCAAACUCCUACGGGAGGCAGCAGUGGGGAAUAUUGCACAAUGGGCGAAAGCCUGAUGCAGCAACGCCGCGUGAGUGAUGAAGGUUUUCGGAUCGUAAGACUCUGUCCUCAAGGAAGAUAAUGACGGUACUUGAGGAGGAAGCCCCGGCUAACUACGUGCCAGCAGCCGCGGUAAUACGUAGGGGGCUAGCGUUAUCCGGAUUUACUGGGCGUAAAGGGUGCGUAGGCGGNCUUUCAAGUCAGAAGUUAAAUUCUACGGNUCAACCGUAGCCAGCUUUUGAAACUGGAAGACUUGAGUGCAGGAGAGGAGAGUAGAAUUCCUAGUGUAGCGGUGAAAUGCGUANAUAUUAGGAGGAAUACCAGUAGCGAAGGCGGCUCUCUGGACUGUAACUGACGCUGAGGCACGAAAGCGUGGGGAGCGAACAGGAUUANAUACCCUGGUAGNCCACGCCGUAAACGAUGAGUACUANGUG
RNAcentral lists this ribosomal RNA (786 nucleotides) under uncultured Tissierellia bacterium. Its description in RNAcentral is "bacterial SSU rRNA". It matches the Rfam family "Bacterial small subunit ribosomal RNA", at positions 8 to 822 of the family's 1533-position model. The record is from RNAcentral. Lineage: Bacteria; Bacillati; Bacillota; Tissierellia.